This 467-nucleotide ribosomal RNA is filed under the name uncultured bacterium. Its description in RNAcentral is "partial 16S ribosomal RNA". It matches the Rfam family "Bacterial small subunit ribosomal RNA", at positions 28 to 507 of the family's 1533-position model. The record is from RNAcentral.
GACGAACGCUGGCGGCGUGCUUAACACAUGCAAGUCGAACGGAAAGGCCUCUUUCGGGGGGUACUCGAGUGGCGAACGGGUGAGUAACACGUGAGUAACCUGCCCUUGACUUUGGGAUAACUUCAGGAAACUGGGGCUAAUACCGGAUAGGAGCUCCUGCUGCAUGGUGGGGGUUGGAAAGUUUCGGCGGUUGGGGAUGGACUCGCGGCUUAUCAGCUUGUUGGUGGGGUAGUGGCUUACCAAGGCUUUGACGGGUAGCCGGCCUGAGAGGGUGACCGGCCACAUUGGGACUGAGAUACGGCCCAGACUCCUACGGGAGGCAGCAGUGGGGAAGAUUGCACAAUGGGUGGAAGCCUGAUGCAGCAACGCCGUGUGCGGGAUGACGGCCUUAGGGUUGGAAACCGCUUUCGCUCAUGACGAAGCUUUGUGUGACGGUAGUGGGUAAAGAAGCACCGGCUAACUACGUG